This 107-nucleotide small nuclear RNA is filed under the name Jaculus jaculus (lesser Egyptian jerboa). Lineage: Eukaryota; Metazoa; Chordata; Mammalia; Rodentia; Dipodidae. The record is from RNAcentral.
GUGCUCACUUCGGCAGCACAUAUACUAAAAUUGGAAUGAUACAAAGAAGUUUAGCAUGGCCCCUGCGCAAGGAUGACACGCAAAUUCGUGAAGUGUUCCAUAUUUUU